Lagopus muta (rock ptarmigan) is the source of this 422-nucleotide long non-coding RNA. RefSeq lists it as uncharacterized. The record is from RefSeq and is a predicted model, not a curated record. The transcript has 3 exons. NCBI's taxonomy places the organism in Eukaryota, Metazoa, Chordata, Aves, Galliformes, Phasianidae.
GCAGCCUGUGAGCUGCAGGUGGGGCUUGUGCGCAGCAAGCCUUUUCAGGGCAAACAAGCUACAGCUGAUGGUGUAGGAAGAAGUUUGUUCUGACACGGAGGCGUCCUUCUGAGAAGUCUUUUUCAUGUUCCGGUAGCAAAACGAUGAAGAAAAUAUCUAGGAACGGUCCUGCGUUUUCAAAAAGGAAUCUUUUGCUUAUGGAGGUGUUUAUCUGCAGUGCUGCCGCUAGAGGCUUCUGAAACAGUCUGGGACUGCUUUUAGGAUAACUAUCCAGACACAGAAAGCUCUGCGUUCGUGGUGAGAGACCAUACAUAUGAGAUUGCCAGGUUUUUGCAGGGUCACCAUGUUGUGAAUUUGGGUCAAGGACCUGAGUGAGUAAGGAGGCCUCGUUUAUCUUCAGCCAAGGUUGAGACAACAGUCGU